RNAcentral lists this ribosomal RNA (614 nucleotides) under uncultured Lachnospiraceae bacterium. Its description in RNAcentral is "bacterial SSU rRNA". It matches the Rfam family "Bacterial small subunit ribosomal RNA", at positions 84 to 716 of the family's 1533-position model. The record is from RNAcentral. Lineage: Bacteria; Bacillati; Bacillota; Clostridia; Lachnospirales; Lachnospiraceae.
AUCUAUUUCUAGUGGCGGACGGGUGAGUAACGCGUGGGUAACCUGCCUUAUACAGGGGGAUAACAGUCAGAAAUGGAUGCUAAUACCGCACAAGCGCACAGAGCUGCAUGGCUCAGUGUGAAAAACUCCGGUGGUAUAAGAUGGACCCGCGUUGGAUUAGCUUGUUGGUGGGGUAACGGCCCACCAAGGCGACGAUCCAUAGCCGGCCUGAGAGGGUGAACGGCCACAUUGGGACUGAGACACGGCCCAGACUCCUACGGGAGGCAGCAGUGGGGAAUAUUGCACAAUGGGGGAAACCCUGAUGCAGCGACGCCGCGUGAAGGAAGAAGUAUCUCGGUAUGUAAACUUCUAUCAGCAGGGAAGAUAGUGACGGUACCUGACUAAGAAGCCCCGGCUAACUACGUGCCAGCAGCCGCGGUAAUACGUAGGGGGCAAGCGUUAUCCGGAUUUACUGGGUGUAAAGGGAGCGUAGACGGUGUGGCAAGUCUGAUGUGAAAGGCAUGGGCUCAACCUGUGGACUGCAUUGGAAACUGUCAUACUUGAGUGCCGGAGGGGUAAGCGGAAUUCCUAGUGUAGCGGUGAAAUGCGUAGAUAUUAGGAGGAACACCAGUGGC